CAGCCGCCGCGGUAAUACGGUGGGUGCAAGCGUUAAUCGGAAUUACUGGGCGUAAAGCGUGCGUAGGCGGUUCGUUAAGUCUGUUGUGAAAGCCCCGGGCUCAACCUGGGAAUGGCAAUGGAUACUGGCGAGCUAGAGUGUGCCAGAGGAUGGUGGAAUUCCCGGUGUAGCGGUGAAAUGCGUAGAGAUCGGGAGGAACAUCAGUGGCGAAGGCGGCCAUCUGGGACAACACUGACGCUGAGGCACGAAAGCGUGGGGAGCAAACAGGAUUAGAUACCCGCGUAGUCCCUGUCUCUUAUAC
Molecule: ribosomal RNA, 301 nt
Filed under: uncultured bacterium
Lineage: Bacteria
Description: partial 16S ribosomal RNA
Rfam family: Bacterial small subunit ribosomal RNA
Source: RNAcentral